GAUGAACGCUGGCGGCGUGCCUAAUACAUGCAAGUCGAGCGAACAGAUGAGGAGCUUGCUCCUCUGACGUUAGCGGCGGACGGGUGAGUAACACGUGGAUAACCUACCUAUAAGACUGGGAUAACUUCGGGAAACCGGAGCUAAUACCGGAUAAUAUAUUGAACCGCAUGGUUCAAUAGUGAAAGACGGUUUUGCUGUCACUUAUAGAUGGACCCGCGCCGCAUUAGCUAGUUGGUAAGGUAACGGCUUACCAAGGCGACGAUGCGUAGCCGACCUGAGAGGUGGAUCGGCCACACUGGACCUGAGACACGGUCCAGACUCCUACGGGAGGCAGCAGUAGGGAAUCUGCCGCAAUGGGCGAAAGCCUGACGGAGCAACGCCGCGUGAGUGAUGAAGGUCUUCGGAUCGUAAAACUCUGUUAUUAGGGAAGAACAAAUGUGUAAGUAACUAUGCACGUCUUGACGGAACCUAAUCAGAAAGCCACGGCUAACUACGU
Molecule: ribosomal RNA, 496 nt
Filed under: uncultured bacterium
Lineage: Bacteria
Description: partial 16S ribosomal RNA
Rfam family: Bacterial small subunit ribosomal RNA
Source: RNAcentral